Molecule: ribosomal RNA, 521 nt
Filed under: uncultured bacterium
Lineage: Bacteria
Description: bacterial SSU rRNA
Rfam family: Archaeal small subunit ribosomal RNA
Source: RNAcentral
AACCUCCGCAAUGUGAGAAAUCGCGACGGGGGGAUCCCAAGUGCCAUUCUUAACGGGAUGGCUUUUCAUUAGUGUAAAGAGCUUUUGGAAUAAGGGCUGGGCAAGACCGGUGCCAGCCGCCGCGGUAACACCGGCAGCUCUAGUGGUAGCAGUUUUUAUUGGGCCUAAAGCGUCCGUAGCCGGUUUAAUAAGUCUCUGGUGAAAUCCUGUAGCUUAACUGUGGGAAUUGCUGGAGAUACUAUUAGACUUGAGACCGGGAGAGGUUAGAGGUACUCCCAGGGUAGAGGUGAAAUUCUGUAAUCCUGGGAGGACCGCCUGUUGCGAAGGCGUCUAACUGGAACGGUUCUGACGGUGAGGGACGAAAGUUAGGGGCGCGAACCGGAUUAGAUACCCGGGUAGUCCUAACUGUAAACGAUGCGGACUUGGUGUUGGGGUGGCUUUGAGCUGCUCCAGUGCCGAAGGGAAGCUGUUAAGUCCGCCGCCUGGGAAGUACGGUCGCAAGACUAGAAUUUAAAGGAAGU